Molecule: ribosomal RNA, 472 nt
Filed under: uncultured bacterium
Lineage: Bacteria
Description: bacterial SSU rRNA
Rfam family: Bacterial small subunit ribosomal RNA
Source: RNAcentral
UGGGGAAUUUUGGACAAUGGGGGCAACCCUGAUCCAGCGAUGCCGCGUGUGCGAAGAAGGCCUGCGGGUUGUAAAGCACUUUGGUUGGGGAAGAAGGUUGGGCGUUGAAUAGAUGCCUGAAUUGACGUUACCCAAAGAACAAGCACCGGCUAACUCUGUGCCAGCAGCCGCGGUAAUACAGAGGGUGCGAGCGUUAAUCGGAAUUACUGGGCGUAAAGCGUGCGCAGGCGGUUUUGUAAGUCUGAUGUGAAAUCCCCGGGCUCAACCUGGGAAUUGCAUUGGAGACUGCAAGGCUAGAAUCUGGCAGAGGGGGGUAGAAUUCCACGUGUAGCAGUGAAAUGCGUAGAUAUGUGGAGGAAUACCAGUGGCGAAGGCGGCCCCCUGGCACAACACUGACGCUCAGGUGCGAAAGCGUGGGGAGCAAACAGGAUUAGAUACCCAAGUAGUCCCUGAGCGGGCUGGCAAGGCGCAU